GAGUUUGAUCCUGGCUCAGGACGAACGCUGGCGGCGUGCCUAAUGCAUGCAAGUCGCACGCGGGGACUUCGGUCCCUGAGUGGCGCACGGCUGAGGAACACGUGGGUAGCGACCCGGCGGUGGGGGACAACUCGGCGAAAGCCAAGCUAAUCCCGCAUACGCUCUCUGGAGGAAAGCCGCAAGGCGCCGCCGGACGCGCCCGCGGCCCAUCAGGUAGUUGGCGGGGUAACGGCCCACCAAGCCCGUGACGGGUCGCUGGUCUGUGAGGACGACCAGCCAGACUGGGACUGAGAUACGGCCCAGACUCCUACGGGAGGCAGCAGCAAGGAAUUUUCGGCAAUGGGCGCAAGCCUGACCGAGCAACGCCGCGUGCAGGAUGACGGCUUUCGGGUUGUAAACUGCUUUUUGGUGGGAUGAUAAUGACCGACCACCAGAAUAG
This 439-nucleotide ribosomal RNA is filed under the name uncultured Kouleothrix sp. RNAcentral describes it as "bacterial SSU rRNA". It matches the Rfam family "Bacterial small subunit ribosomal RNA", at positions 9 to 489 of the family's 1533-position model. Lineage: Bacteria; Bacillati; Chloroflexota; Chloroflexia; Chloroflexales; Roseiflexaceae. The record is from RNAcentral.